GAUGAACGCUAGCUACAGGCUUAACACAUGCAAGUCGAGGGGAAACGACAUCGAAAGCUUGCUUUUGAUGGGCGUCGACCGGCGCACGGGUGAGUAACGCGUAUCCAACCUGCCCAUUACUUGGGAAUAACCUUGCGAAAUUAAGACUAAUACCCAAUGAUAUCCCACGAAGGCAUCGGAAUGGGAUUAAAGAUUUAUCGGUGAUGGAUGGGGAUGCGUCUGAUUAGCUUGUUGGCGGGGUAACGGCCCACCAAGGCAACGAUCAGUAGGGGUUCUGAGAGGAAGGUCCCCCACAUGGGAACUGAGACACGGUCCAAACUCCUACGGGAGGCAGCAGUGAGGAAUAUUGGUCAAUGGGCGAGAGCCUGAACCAGCCAAGUAGCGUGCAGGAAGACGGCCCUAUGGGUUGUAAACUGCUUUUAUAAGGGAAUAAAGUGGGUCACGUGUGACUUUUUGCAUGUACCUUAUGAAUAAGGACCGGCUAAUUCCGUG
RNAcentral lists this ribosomal RNA (492 nucleotides) under uncultured bacterium. RNAcentral's name for it is "partial 16S ribosomal RNA". It matches the Rfam family "Bacterial small subunit ribosomal RNA", at positions 28 to 507 of the family's 1533-position model. The record is from RNAcentral.